Molecule: ribosomal RNA, 486 nt
Filed under: uncultured bacterium
Lineage: Bacteria
Description: partial 16S ribosomal RNA
Rfam family: Bacterial small subunit ribosomal RNA
Source: RNAcentral
AUGAACGCUAGCGAUAGGCUUAACACAUGCAAGUCGAGGGGCAGCACAAGGUAGCUUGCUCUCUGGGUGGCGACCGGCGCCCGGGUGCGUAACGCGUAUGCAACUUGCCCUAUACAGGAGGAUAACCCGUCGAAAGACGGACUAAUACUGCGUAUGCUCACAACUUGGCAUCAAGUGGUGAGGAAAGAAAUUCGGUAUAGGAUAGGCAUGCGUCCCAUUAGCUUGUUGGUGAGGUAACGGCUCACCAAGGCAACGAUGGGUAGGGGAACUGAGAGGUUUAUCCCCCACACUGGUACUGAGACACGGACCAGACUCCUACGGGAGGCAGCAGUGAGGAAUAUUGGUCAAUGGGCGCGAGCCUGAACCGGCCAAGUCGCGUGAAGGAUGACUGUCUUAUGGAUUGUAAACUUCUUUUAUACGGGAAUAACAAGAGUCACGUGUGACUCCCUGCAUGUACCGUAUGAAUAAGCAUCGGCUAACUCCGUG